GGGAGAAGGGAGAGAGGAGAGAGAGACUGAGAGAGGAGGCAGAGAGAGACUCACUCUGUACCCAGGCUGGAGUGCAGUGGAGUAAUCACGGCUCACUGCAGCCUUGACCUGCUGACUUCAAGUGAUCCUUGCACCUCAGCCUCUCGAGUAGCUGGGACCACAGGUGCAGCCAGCUAAGUUUUAAAUUAAAAAAAAAUGUAGGCCGGGCGCGGUGUCUCAAGCCUGUAAUCCCAGCACUUUGGGAGGCCGAUGCGGGUGGAUCAUGAGGUGAAGAGAUGGAGACCAUCCUGAUCAACAUGGUGAAGCCCCGUCUCUACUAAAAAUACAAAAAAUUAGCUGGGCAUGGUGGUGCGUCCCUGUAAUCCCAGCUACUCAGGAGGCUGAGGCAGGAGAACUGCCUGAACCCAGGAGGCGGAGGUUGCAGUGAGCCGAGGUCGCGCCAUUGCACUCCAGCCUGGGUAACAAGAGCGAAACUCCGUCUCAAAAAAAAAGAAAAAAAAUGUAAAAGCCUCUUGAGUAGUGGAACCACCAUGCAUGGCUAAUUUUUAAAUAUUUUAUAGAGACGUGUAAUAUGGUUAGGCUUUGUGUCGUCACCCAGAUCUCAUCUUGAAUUGUAAUUCCCAUACUCCCCAUAUGACAAGGGAGAGACCAGGUGGAGGUAAUUGAAUCUUGGGGGCAGUUUCCCCCAUGCUGUUCUCAUGAUAGUGAGUUGUCACGAGGGCUGACGGUUUUAUAGGGGGCUCUUCCCCACCUUCUCUCUGCACAUUUCCUUCCUGCCGCCUCGUGAAGAAGGUGCCUUGCUUCUCCUUUGCCUUCCACCAUGAUUGUGAGGUUUUUGAGGCCUCCCCAGUCAUGCUGAACUUAGCAGAAGUUACCAAAAGGCAAGGACAUGGAUGGCAAAGGAGAGAGGAUGAAUAUUUGCUUCAGCUUGGCAAACUUUCCUGUCACUCUUAACUGACGGCUGUAGAGGCGCUAGGAAGAGGAGUGAGUCAAUUCUGAAAGAUGACAC
RNAcentral lists this long non-coding RNA (1009 nucleotides) under Callithrix jacchus (white-tufted-ear marmoset). RNAcentral's name for it is "lncRNA (ENSCJAG00000077053.1)". Lineage: Eukaryota; Metazoa; Chordata; Mammalia; Primates; Cebidae. The record is from RNAcentral.